This 116-nucleotide ribosomal RNA is filed under the name Salurnis marginella. RNAcentral describes it as "partial 16S ribosomal RNA". Lineage: Eukaryota; Metazoa; Arthropoda; Insecta; Hemiptera; Flatidae. The record is from RNAcentral.
AAAAUUUUAAAGGUCGAACAGACCUAAACUUGUAAAACCUACCCCACAAAUUAAUUUUAAUCCAACAUCGAGGUCACAAACUUAUUUAUCGAUAAGAACUCUCCAAAUAAAUUAUG